GCCUCCCAAAAGGUAAGUAGGCAUGCAAAGGUUUCCUCGGGCCGAAUGAAGAUUGGCCCUCGAGUGCAAAGCCAAGAAGGAGCUUGACUCUAUGAGCCACUCAUAAAGCUAGGACGAAAGUUGGCCUUAGUAAUUCCAUGGUGCCUGUUAGGAUUUUGACCCAAU
This 165-nucleotide non-coding RNA is filed under the name Corchorus capsularis. Its description in RNAcentral is "Bacterial large subunit ribosomal RNA". It matches the Rfam family "Bacterial large subunit ribosomal RNA", at positions 2285 to 2453 of the family's 2925-position model. Lineage: Eukaryota; Viridiplantae; Streptophyta; Magnoliopsida; Malvales; Malvaceae. The record is from Rfam by way of RNAcentral.